AUGCACCAGGAAUGGUCGGGAUAGCUCAGCUGGUAGAGCAGAGGACUGAAAAUCCUCGUGUCACCAGU
RNAcentral lists this transfer RNA (68 nucleotides) under Cornus mas. RNAcentral describes it as "partial tRNA-Phe". The stretch from base 15 to 68 matches the Rfam family "tRNA", at positions 1 to 52 of the family's 71-position model. From Rfam's summary of the family: Transfer RNA (tRNA) molecules are approximately 80 nucleotides in length. Their secondary structure includes four short double-helical elements and three loops (D, anti-codon, and T loops). Further hydrogen bonds mediate the characteristic L-shaped molecular structure. tRNAs have two regions of fundamental functional importance: the anti-codon, which is responsible for specific mRNA codon recognition, and the 3' end, to which the tRNAs corresponding amino acid is attached (by aminoacyl-tRNA synthetases). tRNAs cope with the degeneracy of the genetic code in two manners: having more than one tRNA (with a specific anti-codon) for a particular amino acid; and 'wobble' base-pairing, i.e. permitting non-standard base-pairing at the 3rd anti-codon position. RNAcentral also lists the same sequence under 1 other name. The record is from RNAcentral. Lineage: Eukaryota; Viridiplantae; Streptophyta; Magnoliopsida; Cornales; Cornaceae.